This is a long non-coding RNA of Mus musculus (house mouse), 1114 nucleotides long. RefSeq annotates it as predicted gene 29069. The record is from RefSeq and is a predicted model, not a curated record. Lineage: Eukaryota; Metazoa; Chordata; Mammalia; Rodentia; Muridae. The transcript is spliced from 3 exons.
CCUCUAAAGUGGCAUAUACAGUUAUCUAAAAGGAUGUGUAUAUUCAAUAAAACCUCUACCUCUGUUUUGGAGCCAAGAAGAGUGGUACACCAAGUUUAAAAAGAGUUGACUCAUUUAAGUGUUAUGAUGAAGCAUGAAGAUUCGUAAGCAUGAAAAUUUCAGUGGUGUAAUACCCUGUACAUAAAAAAGUGAUUAAUAAACAUUGGCUGAAAUAGACUGGUAUAGUAGAUACCCAUCGGCUGUCUGUGGAGUGGUCUAUCCUUAGCCAUUCAUACAACAGCACCAAGACCUACUGUGGGUCUCUCUGUGCCAUCUAAGUUGAUCCUGAACUCCUGGGUUCAAUGAUCCUCCCAACUCAGCUCAAGUGCCUGGGACUUCUGAUGUAUGCCUGACAUGACUUUUUGGCUUCAUGAGGAUUUCUGAACUUGACUCUGCAGAGUUGAAAUGUGUCUUGUCUAGUGUUUGGGCCUUUAAAAAUAAAACUCAGGUGCCAUAGUCCCCAUAUGACACUGAAAGGUGGAGACCAUGGCCUCUAGAAUAGAAAAUUGCACAAUGGAAAGAGAUAGACUCCAAGCACUGUUGAUCCUGGGUCCUUAUAUAGUUAGCUUCCUUUAGUGUUUUGCUAUUUCAGUUUCCAUUCUACUAGUUAAUGUCUUUUCCUUUCUGUUUGAACUUGUUAGAAGUGAGCAUUUGUCAUGAAUGGCCAAACUCUGCUACAGUCUCCGAAUUUUACUACAGAGGAAGCUGAAGAGAGAUUGUCAUUUGGUAAGGAUACUUAUAAUGCAGAUCCAGUGGCACAAGUGACAGACAUUGCCAACACCUCCGCUCAAACUCAGAAAAGGCAGAAUGAAACCAAACUACCUGACUUGAAGAAAAAGGUACCAAGUGGAAUUGUCUCUGCAAUCCACAGGGCAGAGAGGAGGAAAGAACCCCUUACGUGAGUGGGUGAGGGUCUAUUUUCAAAUAGCUAAAGAUACAUUAAUGGGUAAAGAGGUGGGGUUUACAUAGUUUGAUCUAGGAUCAAUGCAGGGUUUUCCUUACAGUGGUGUAAAAACAGCACAAAUAAGAAGCUAAAUUCAGGGUUUUCCUUGAGAAUAAAUGCAAUACAAAAUAG